AGUUUGAUCCUGGCUCAGAUUGAACGCUGGCGGCAGGCCUAACACAUGCAAGUCGAACGGUAACAGGAAGCAGCUUGCUGCUUCGCUGACGAGUGGCGGACGGGUGAGUAAUGUCUGGGAAACUGCCUGAUGGAGGGGGUAUACCUCGGGAACCGGUUGCUUAACCCCGGAUAACCUCGCAAAACCAAAAGGAGGGACCUUUGGGCCUCUCUCCCUUUGGGAUGCCCCCAGAGUGGUAUUACUUAGUAGGUGGGGGAACCGGUUCACCUGGGGGGAGAACCCUAGCGGUGUUGGGAGGGAUGCCCAGCCCACCGGGAAUUGGAACCCGGUCCAGACUCCUACGGGAGGCACCAGUGGGGAAUAUUGCACAAUGGGCGCAAGCCUGAUGCACCCAUCCCGCGUGUAUGAAGAAGGCCUUCGGGUUGUAAAGUACUUUCAGCGGGGAGGAAGGGAGUAAAGUUAAUACCUUUGCUCAUUGACGUUACCCGCAGAAGAAGCACCGGCUAACUCCGUGCCAGCAGCCGCGGUAAUACGGAGGGUGCAAGCGUUAAUCGGAAUUACUGGGCGUAAAGCGCACGCAGGCGGUUUGUUAAGUCAGAUGUGAAAUCCCCGGGCUCAACCUGGGAACUGCAUCUGAUACUGGCAAGCUUGAGUCUCGUAGAGGGGGGUAGAAUUCCAGGUGUAGCGGUGAAAUGCGUAGAGAUCUGGAGGAAUACCGGUGGCGAAGGCGGCCCCCUGGACGAAGACUGACGCUCAGGUGCGAAAGCGUGGGGAGCAAACAGGAUUAGAUACCCUGGUAGUCCACGCCGUAAACGAUGUCGACUUGGAGGUUGUGCCCUUGAGGCGUGGCUUCCGGAGCUAACGCGUUAAGUCGACCGCCUGGGGAGUACGGCCGCAAGGUUAAAACUCAAAUGAAUUGACGGGGGCCCGCACAAGCGGUGGAGCAUGUGGUUUAAUUCGAUGCAACGCGAAGAACCUUACCUGGUCUUGACAUCCACAGAACUUUCCAGAGAUGGAUUGGUGCCUUCGGGAACUGUGAGACAGGUGCUGCAUGGCUGUCGUCAGCUCGUGUUGUGAAAUGUUGGGUUAAGUCCCGCAACGAGCGCAACCCUUAUCCUUUGUUGCCAGCGGUCCGGCCGGGAACUCAAAGGAGACUGCCAGUGAUAAACUGGAGGAAGGUGGGGAUGACGUCAAGUCAUCAUGGCCCUUACGACCAGGGCUACACACGUGCUACAAUGGCGCAUACAAAGAGAAGCGACCUCGCGAGAGCAAGCGGACCUCAUAAAGUGCGUCGUAGUCCGGAUUGGAGUCUGCAACUCGACUCCAUGAAGUCGGAAUCGCUAGUAAUCGUGGAUCAGAAUGCCACGGUGAAUACGUUCCCGGGCCUUGCACACACCGCCCGUC
RNAcentral lists this ribosomal RNA (1404 nucleotides) under uncultured bacterium. Its description in RNAcentral is "partial 16S ribosomal RNA". It matches the Rfam family "Bacterial small subunit ribosomal RNA". The record is from RNAcentral.